AUGACUCUCGGCAACGGAUAUCUCGGCUCUCGCAUCGAUGAAGAACGUAGCGAAAUGCGAUACUUGGUGUGAAUUGCAGAAUCCCGUGAACCAUCGAGUCUUUGAACGCAAGUUGCGCCCGAAGCCUUUUGGCCGAGGGCACGUUUGSCUGGGCGUC
Molecule: ribosomal RNA, 157 nt
Filed under: Armeria filicaulis subsp. filicaulis
Lineage: Eukaryota; Viridiplantae; Streptophyta; Magnoliopsida; Caryophyllales; Plumbaginaceae
Description: 5.8S ribosomal RNA
Rfam family: 5.8S ribosomal RNA
About the family: 5.8S ribosomal RNA (5.8S rRNA) is a component of the large subunit of the eukaryotic ribosome.
Source: RNAcentral